RNAcentral lists this ribosomal RNA (397 nucleotides) under uncultured Sphaerotilus sp. RNAcentral's name for it is "bacterial SSU rRNA". It matches the Rfam family "Bacterial small subunit ribosomal RNA", at positions 1 to 407 of the family's 1533-position model. The record is from RNAcentral. Lineage: Bacteria; Pseudomonadati; Pseudomonadota; Betaproteobacteria; Burkholderiales; Sphaerotilaceae.
AGCUAGUUUGAUCCUGGCUCAGAUUGAACGCUGGCGGUAUGCCUUACACAUGCAAGUCGAACGGUAGAGGGGCAACCCUUGAGAGUGGCGAACGGGUGAGUAAUACAUCGGAACGUGCCCAGUCGUGGGGGAUAACGUAGCGAAAGCUACGCUAAUACCGCAUACGACCUGAGGGUGAAAGCGGGGGACUCGCAAGAGCCUCGCGCGAUUGGAGCGGCCGAUAUCAGAUUAGGUUGCUGGUGAGGUAAAAGCUCACCAAGGCGAUGAUCAGUAGCUGGUCUGAGAGGACGAUCAGCCACACUGGGGACUGAGACACGGUCCAGACUCCGUACGGGAGCAGCAGUUGGGGAAUUUGGACAAUGGACGCAAGUCUGAUCCCAGCAAUGCCGCGUGCAGG